UUGACGGGAAAGUUUACUGUAUCAUACUCGUAUCGUAUGCUCAGUAAUAAAUUAGUUAUAUAUAUUUUUUAAAAAAUAAUAAUAAAAAUAUUUUUAUAUUAAUUAUGAUGGGAUGGAUAAAUUUAAAAAAUAUUAUUUUAUUGGUCGCAAACGUCAUCUCAGUAAUAUAACUAAUGCAUUUAAAAAAAUAAAAUAAAAUUUCUGAAGGAGAUUCCGUCAGCAAAUCUGAAAGUUCAUAAUUUCUUGAGAAUUGUCAAAAUUUCCGGAGUGAUAUAUGUGUGAAGACUGAAAAUUACAAAUAAGUGUGAUGACAUACAUUAGAAGGGUCUUUUUAAUUCACGAAAUGCGUACAUAUUUGUAAUACACUGAACUUUUGCAAAUUACGGAGUUCGAGUAUGUGGAAUAGUGCGUGGAUCACUCCUACAUGUUCUAAAAGAUUAGAACAAGUUUUUGGAUAAGUUUGAGGAUGAUUGGAAUGCUAAAAGUGAGAAAUUGCAUUGAACUGGCGAAAAUCAGCCUUUUUCUGCUUGCUGUACCGGUACAGCCAUCACCUUGUACCGGUACAAGCUGGCAGAUUCGU
Molecule: long non-coding RNA, 580 nt
Filed under: Ananas comosus (pineapple)
Lineage: Eukaryota; Viridiplantae; Streptophyta; Magnoliopsida; Poales; Bromeliaceae
Description: long non-coding RNA (ACOM_LNC026114)
Source: RNAcentral